RNAcentral lists this unclassified non-coding RNA (253 nucleotides) under uncultured Planctomycetales bacterium. RNAcentral describes it as "contains 16S-23S intergenic spacer region". It matches the Rfam family "Bacterial small subunit ribosomal RNA", at positions 524 to 776 of the family's 1533-position model. Lineage: Bacteria; Pseudomonadati; Planctomycetota; Planctomycetia; Planctomycetales. The record is from RNAcentral.
UACGAACUGCGCGAACGUUAUUCGGAAUCACUGGGCUUACAGGGUGCGUAGGCGGCCGACCAGGUCCGAUGUGAAAUCCCCCAGCUCAACUGGGGAAUGGCAUUGGAAACCGGCCGGCUUGAGUGAGCUAGAGGUGCACGGAACUUCCGGUGGAGCGGUGAAAUGCGUUGAUAUCGGAAGGAACACCAGAGGCGAAAGCGGUGCACUGGGGCUUGUCUGACGCUGAGGCACGAAAGCCAGGGGAGCGAACGGG